UCCGGUGGUAUGGGAUGGGCCCGCGUUGGAUUAGCCAGUUGGCAGGGUAACGGCCUACCAAAGCGACGAUCCAUAGCCGGCCUGAGAGGGCGACCGGCCACAUUGGGACUGAGAUACGGCCCAGACUCCUACGGGAGGCAGCAGUCGGGAAUAUUGCGCAAUGGAGGGAACUCUGACGCAGUGACGCCGCGUAUAGGAAGAAGGUUUUCGGAUUGUAAACUAUUGUCGUUAGGGAAGAGAAAGGACAGUACCUAAGGAGGAAGCUCCGGCUAACUAC
This 277-nucleotide ribosomal RNA is filed under the name uncultured bacterium. RNAcentral's name for it is "partial 16S ribosomal RNA". It matches the Rfam family "Bacterial small subunit ribosomal RNA", at positions 211 to 504 of the family's 1533-position model. The record is from RNAcentral.